Molecule: ribosomal RNA, 560 nt
Filed under: uncultured Alphaproteobacteria bacterium
Lineage: Bacteria; Pseudomonadati; Pseudomonadota; Alphaproteobacteria
Description: bacterial SSU rRNA
Rfam family: Bacterial small subunit ribosomal RNA
Source: RNAcentral
CCUACGGGAGGCAGCAGUGGGGAAUCUUGGACAAUGGGCGCAAGCCUGAUCCAGCCAUGCCGCGUGAGUGAUGAAGGCCCUAGGGUCGUAAAGCUCUUUCGCCUGUGAAGAUAAUGACGGUAGCAGGUAAAGAAACCCCGGCUAACUCCGUGCCAGCAGCCGCGGUAAUACGGAGGGGGUUAGCGUUGUUCGGAAUUACUGGGCGUAAAGCGCGCGUAGGCGGAUUAGUAAGUCAGAGGUGAAAUCCCAGGGCUCAACCCUGGAACUGCCUUUGAUACUGCUAGUCUUGAGUUCGAGAGAGGUAAGUGGAAUUCCGAGUGUAGAGGUGAAAUUCGUAGAUAUUCGGAGGAACACCAGUGGCGAAGGCGGCUUACUGGCUCGAUACUGACGCUGAGGUGCGAAAGUGUGGGGAGCAAACAGGAUUAGAUACCCUGGUAGUCCACACCGUAAACGAUGAAUGCCAGUCGUCGGGUAGCAUGCUAUUCGGUGACACACCUAACGGAUUAAGCAUUCCGCCUGGGGAGUACGGUCGCAAGAUUAAAACUCAAAGGAAUUGACGG